RNAcentral lists this long non-coding RNA (1457 nucleotides) under Bemisia tabaci. RNAcentral describes it as "lncRNA ENSSSA2NGG009633". The record is from RNAcentral. Lineage: Eukaryota; Metazoa; Arthropoda; Insecta; Hemiptera; Aleyrodidae.
UAUAGUGAGGAAUGACAUACUGAAAAUUGGUCAAAAUCCAUGAGGGGGAAUUUUUGUCGAUUUUGCAUACACCCCUUUACAUCACCAGUAUAGAUCUAAUUACAGGAGAACAUGAAAAUGAAGAAUGCAAAAUUGAAACAGCAGAAGAGAAAGAAAUAAAAACAGGUGACCAAAAGUGCUAAAAUGUCUGAUUUUAUUAUGAAUAGAUUUGUUUUACCGGUCGAAUUUUAGUUUAAAUUGGAGUUGGUUCCAAAUCGGCAGAGAUAAAGGGAAUCAUAGCUCUUAUGGCCAAUACCUAUUUAGACCUUGUCACGUUAGAAGGAUCGGUUGAGGUUUAGACGGACUGAAACAUCUAAAAUUAAGAAUUUGGAAAAGUUACACGAUUUACAAAGAGUAAGUACUCACACUUGUGCUUAAAAGGCUAAAGGCGGCACGUCACGUACUUGUGCGGAUCAGAUGUUAAAAGACCAUGAGAAAGGGGCAGCACACACUUUUAUAAACUUGAUGACGUCACGAGUGGCGAGACGGCAAGUUUAUGCGCUAUUAGCUGGCUAUAAUCAGUGGAGCUAUCAGUUGCAAGUCUAGUCAUUAAUUUUAUUGGUGAUGGUUGGAUGAUAGAGACGAAAAGUUGAAAAGUGGACGAAAUCCAGCCAUUCCUAAUGACUAGAUUGAAUUUGAAUGAAAAAGUUAGAAGUUUAAGAAAAAUGAGGAGAGGUAUUAUUGCGGCACUACGGUGCACGCGACAGACCUUUUUUAAGUUAUGUGUGGCAAGUUCGUGCGGCUUCCUGCGCUUGAGACGUCUAGUUUGCCCAGCCCAAAAAGCUUAAUGACCUCUAGGUUGGGGUCGGAGGUCACACGUUUCAUGUAUAUACCGUACAUAUGGGAGACUAAACCCUCAGAAUCUCAUAAGCAUCACGAACAUUACAAUUUUUUCUACCUGAUUCGAAUUUUCCGUGCAACAAUUGAGACAACAGUGUUCCGCUGCCAGAUUUUUGCCAAAUUCCAUGUUUCUAGGUGAAACUUUGACAUAGAUGAACUUAAAUGUUCCGCUGCAGGAAUAUUUCCUCCGAUAAAAAGAAGCCACGGCAUUUUUGGUGUGCAAAACCACUACGCAAUAAAAUAGUAAUCAAACCAAUUUGGUAAAGGAAACCAUACGGAUUUCCUCUGACAGAUCAUAAUGCCAAUUACCGUUGAUGGUCGACCGUAAGUACUGUGCCUCAAAGAUGUGAAGAACUACAGACAUUAUUUUGACUUCUCAUCCAUUCGUCGUAAGCAUGCUUCACACUACUUCAAACGCCCAAUGUCGUCGCUUUCUCAAGGGUAGCCUUUUAGUGCCUUAUUUAAACUUUUCUCAUGAUAGAUUUAUUGUUUAUAUUUUUUUCCACCCCUUACAUCAGCAAAUCUUGAAUAUUUGUUUCAAGUUAUUAGUGUCAUCGAUACCUUGUCAUUCUGUACAA